AACAAACAAAAACUAUAUACAGAAAAGAAUACUAUGUUACAGGAACUCAGAUCAAGGAAGAGUAAGAAAAACUCCCCCUUAAUCAAACAAGAGGUGAACCUCAAAAUCAGUCCAGAGGAGAUGUCGUAAAAACACUCCCCCUGAAACAAACAAGAGGUACAACCUUAAGAAGCACUUGAGGUACAACCUUAAGAAACACAAACUGAAUGUUGACCCAACAUUUGGUUUGGAACAACCAAGAGAAAGUUAAGAACUCCCCCUG
RNAcentral lists this long non-coding RNA (262 nucleotides) under Salvia miltiorrhiza (redroot sage). RNAcentral's name for it is "long non-coding RNA (SMIL_LNC004927)". The record is from RNAcentral. Lineage: Eukaryota; Viridiplantae; Streptophyta; Magnoliopsida; Lamiales; Lamiaceae.